Molecule: unclassified non-coding RNA, 200 nt
Filed under: Eurotiales sp.
Lineage: Eukaryota; Fungi; Ascomycota; Eurotiomycetes; Eurotiales
Also listed under: 1 other name
Description: partial contains internal transcribed spacer 2 and large subunit ribosomal RNA
Source: RNAcentral
GCCCUCAAGCACGGCUUGUGUGUUAGGCCCCGUCCUCCGCUCGCGGGGGACGGGCCUGAAAGGCAGCGGCGGCACCGCGUCCGGUCCUCGAGCGUAUGGGGCUUUGUCACCCGCUCUGUAGGCCCGGCCGGCGCCUGCCGAUCAACCACACUUUUAUUCAGGUUGACCUCGGAUCAGGUAGGGAUACCCGCUGAACUUAA